RNAcentral lists this ribosomal RNA (333 nucleotides) under Staphylococcus aureus. RNAcentral's name for it is "bacterial SSU rRNA". It matches the Rfam family "Bacterial small subunit ribosomal RNA", at positions 267 to 592 of the family's 1533-position model. The record is from RNAcentral. Lineage: Bacteria; Bacillati; Bacillota; Bacilli; Caryophanales; Staphylococcaceae.
ACCAAGGCAACGAUGCAUAGCCGACCUGAGAGGGUGAUCGGCCACACUGGAACUGAGACACGGUCCAGACUCCUACGGGAGGCAGCAGUAGGGAAUCUUCCGCAAUGGGCGAAAGCCUGACGGAGCAACGCCGCGUGAGUGAUGAAGGUCUUCGGAUCGUAAAACUCUGUUAUUAGGGAAGAACAUAUGUGUAAGUAACUGUGCACAUCUUGACGGUACCUAAUCAGAAAGCCACGGCUAACUACGUGCCAGCAGCCGCGGUAAUACGUAGGUGGCAAGCGUUAUCCGGAAUUAUUGGGCGUAAAGCGCGCGUAGGCGGUUUUUUAAGUCUGA